Molecule: ribosomal RNA, 665 nt
Filed under: Pseudomonas aeruginosa
Lineage: Bacteria; Pseudomonadati; Pseudomonadota; Gammaproteobacteria; Pseudomonadales; Pseudomonadaceae
Description: bacterial SSU rRNA
Rfam family: Bacterial small subunit ribosomal RNA
Source: RNAcentral
GCGUGAGGGAAGAAGGCCUUCGGAUUGUAAAGCACUUUAAGUUGGGAGGAAGGGCAGGAAGCUAAUACCUUGCUGUUUUGACGUUACCACUAGAAGACGCACCGCGUAACUUUGUGCCAGCAGCCGCGGUUAUACGGAGGGUGCAAGCGUUAAUCGGAAUUACUGGGCGUAAAGCGCGCGUAGGUGGUUCCGAAGUUGAAUGUCAAAUCCCCGGGGUCAACCUGGGAACUGCAUCGCGAACUGGGAGAUUGGAAUACCUGAUAGAGUGGUGGAAUGUCCUGAGUAGCGGAGAAAUGCCUAUAUCUAAGACGGAACACCGGUGCGGAACUGAACCUCCUGAACGGAUACUGGCGCUGCAGAGCGAAUGAGAGGCCCUGAAACAGCAUUACAUACACUGUGAGUACUCGCCGUAGACUACGUUCACUAGACUCUGGGAUCCUUGAGAUGUUAUAGGCGCACCUCAUGCGAUGAAUGGACCGCCUGGGGAGUACGGCCGCAAGGGUAAAACUCACAUGAAUUGACGGGAGCCCGCGCAUGAGUUGGAGGAUGUGGGUUAAUUCUUAAGCAACGCUUGAAAUAUUACCUAGACUUGACAUGCAGAGAACUCUCCAGAGAUUCUAUUGCUGCCUCUCGGGGACUCUUUACACAGCAUGCUGCAUGGUUUU